GUACUCGCUUCGGCAGUACCAGUGCUAACCCUGGAACAAUACAGAAAAGAUUAGCGUGGCCCCAGCACAAGGAUGACGUGCAAACCUGUGACAUAUUACAUAUUAGA
Molecule: small nuclear RNA, 107 nt
Organism: Artibeus jamaicensis (Jamaican fruit-eating bat)
Lineage: Eukaryota; Metazoa; Chordata; Mammalia; Chiroptera; Phyllostomidae
Source: RefSeq, a predicted model, not a curated record